Small nucleolar RNA from Gastrolobium bilobum, 106 nucleotides. Lineage: Eukaryota; Viridiplantae; Streptophyta; Magnoliopsida; Fabales; Fabaceae. The record is from RefSeq and is a predicted model, not a curated record.
AAUCCAUGGUUUGGACACUGUUUAAGCAGAAGUUUAAAUCUCUCCCAAACAUCUACUAAAGUUUCACCAUCUUUCUGCAUAAAAUUAGUGAUUUCUCCCCUAGUUU